AGGAACACGGAGGAUAAGUGCGAGAAUGCCGCAAAACAGUGAAAUGGACGCUGUAAGGAAACCCUUUGGCUGCAGCAGUAAUUCGAGCAUGACUUGGAGCUGUGAAUCAACCAACAGAAAUGUAUUUGCUGCUCAAAACCUUCGUUCCAAAACCUGCAUGCAGAUUCGCAAGAGGAGUCGUCGAAAGGAUAUCUGGGGUUAAAACUUACCCAUGUCGGUGUGAUAAAUAAAAAUAGCCUAGCUGUGAACAUAAAUUAUGCUGUACAAAAUGUGAUGUGAUAGAAAUAAAACAAAAAAAUAAUUCAAA
Long non-coding RNA from Aedes aegypti (yellow fever mosquito), 307 nucleotides. RefSeq lists it as uncharacterized. The record is from RefSeq and is a predicted model, not a curated record. The transcript is spliced from 2 exons. NCBI's taxonomy places the organism in Eukaryota, Metazoa, Arthropoda, Insecta, Diptera, Culicidae.